UACGGGGGGGGCAAGCGUUGUUCGGAAUUACUGGGCGUAAAGGGCUCGUAGGUGGCCAACUAAGUCAGACGUGAAAUCCCCAGGCUUAACCUGGGAACUGCGUCUGAUACUGGAUGGCUUGAAUUCGGGAGAGGGAUGCAGAAUUCCAGGUGUAGCGGUGAAAUGCGUAGAUAUCUGGAGGAAUACCGGUGGCGAAGGCGGCAUCCUGGACCGAGAUUGACGCUGAGGAGCGAAAGCUAGGGGAGCAAACGGG
RNAcentral lists this ribosomal RNA (253 nucleotides) under uncultured bacterium. RNAcentral's name for it is "partial 16S ribosomal RNA". It matches the Rfam family "Bacterial small subunit ribosomal RNA", at positions 524 to 776 of the family's 1533-position model. The record is from RNAcentral.